RNAcentral lists this ribosomal RNA (407 nucleotides) under uncultured bacterium. RNAcentral's name for it is "partial 16S ribosomal RNA". It matches the Rfam family "Bacterial small subunit ribosomal RNA", at positions 30 to 526 of the family's 1533-position model. The record is from RNAcentral.
AUUGAACGCUAGCGGGAUGCUUUACACAUGCAAGUCGAACGGAGUGGCGGACGGGUGAGUAAUAUAUUGGAACGUGCCUAGUAGCGGGGGAUAACUACUCGAAACAGUGGCUAAUACCGCAUACUAUUGGAGCGGCCGAGAUCGGAUUAGCUAGUCGGUGGGGUAAAGGCUCACCAAGGCAACGAUCCGUAGCUGGUCUGAGAGGACGACCAGCCACACUGGGACUGAGACACGGCCCAUACUCCUACGGGAGGCAGCAGUGGGGAAUUUUGGACAAUGGAGGAAACCCUGAUCCAGCCAUCCCGCGUGUGUGAAGAAGGCCUGCGGGUUGUAAAGUUCUUUUGGCAGAGAAGCGGUAUCUGCAGAAGAAGCACCGGCUAACUACGUGCCAGCAGCCGCGGUAAUAC